RNAcentral lists this ribosomal RNA (600 nucleotides) under uncultured bacterium. Its description in RNAcentral is "bacterial SSU rRNA". It matches the Rfam family "Bacterial small subunit ribosomal RNA", at positions 725 to 1329 of the family's 1533-position model. The record is from RNAcentral.
CUGACGAGCCCUUUACUGACGCUAAAGCUCGAAGGUGCGGGUAUCGAACAGGAUUAGAUACCCUGGUAGUCCGCACGGUAAACGAUGGAUGCCCGCUGUUGGCGACACACUGUCAGCGGCCAAGCGAAAGCGUUAAGCAUCCCACCUGGGGAGUACGCCGGCAACGGUGAAACUCAAAGGAAUUGACGGGGGCCCGCACAAGCGGAGGAACAUGUGGUUUAAUUCGAUGAUACGCGAGGAACCUUACCCGGGCUUGAACUGCAGGAGAACGAUACAGAGAUGUUGAGGCCCUUCGGGGCUCCUGUGGAGGUGCUGCAUGGUUGUCGUCAGCUCGUGCCGUGAGGUGUCGGCUUAAGUGCCAUAACGAGCGCAACCCCUUUCGCCAGUUGCCAUCAGGUGAUGCUGGGCACUCCGGCGACACUGCCACCGCAAGGUGUGAGGAAGGUGGGGAUGACGUCAAAUCAGCACGGCCUGAACGGCCGUGGCUACACACGUUUUACAAUGGUGAGUACAGAGAGUCAGGCGUUGGCAACACCGCCUUAAUCAGGAAAGCUCUCCUCAGUUCGGAUUGGGGUCUGCAACCCGACCCCAUGAAGCUGG